UUUCCCAUUUGACUACACAUUUUCUCCAGUUAAUAGAGUUCAGUGGCUAUGCUUAGUGGAUAGAUUAAAAUUGCCAUGAUCUGACGAAGAGGGAGGGGGUUUGAAAUAUGAAAUGGCUGAACAGAAAAAA
Small nucleolar RNA from Oryctolagus cuniculus (rabbit), 130 nucleotides. The record is from Ensembl. Lineage: Eukaryota; Metazoa; Chordata; Mammalia; Lagomorpha; Leporidae.